RNAcentral lists this transfer-messenger RNA (356 nucleotides) under Anaerovoracaceae. RNAcentral's name for it is "Lentihominibacter sp022775805 Standard tmRNA". It matches the Rfam family "transfer-messenger RNA". Rfam says of the family: Bacterial tmRNA, also known as 10Sa RNA or SsrA, is named for its dual tRNA and mRNA-like properties. Its role is to liberate the mRNA from a stalled ribosome. RNAcentral also lists the same sequence under 1 other name. Lineage: Bacteria; Bacillati; Bacillota; Clostridia; Peptostreptococcales. The record is from RNAcentral.
GGGGAUGUUAAGGUUUCGACGGGGGUGUGGAAACCGGAUAAGCGAGCCGAAGUUGCCAGUCUUCGUAAAAAGGGCACGUUAAAGAUAAACGCUAAAACUAACAACAAUUACGCACUGGCAGCAUAGUUCUGCCCCGCGCGUCAGCCGCUGUUCACCUGCAGGCAGCGUUACUGACGUCAAUCAUGCAGGAAACCUUAGGGUGAGUUCCCGGUAGCUCUAAGGACCCACGGGAUAGCUGAUUCUGCAGUCUGCCUAUGGACGGCAGAAGAGGCGAAACAAUAAAUCAUGGGCUGCGCUCGGAGAAAUUCCGGUGAAAAUGCUUUCGGACACGGGUUCGAUUCCCGUCAUCUCCACCA